CUUGGGGAAAGCUCUUUGGGUAGGCUUUCAGGGGCUGGCUAGAGAGUAAGGUGGUACACAUUCAUUCCCACAGUUCCCUGUCCCCUGCCUAGGUCAUCUGCUGACCCUAGGGCUGCUGAGCCUCUUGGGUGGAUGUGGCAGUGUGUUGAGGCUACAAUAACAAGAUGUCACAGCCUUAACACAGAAAUUUCUUUCUCAUAAUUCAAAGACAGAAAAGCCUGAGAUCAAGAUGCCUAUAGGCCACCUUUAGCCUAAGUUCUGUUCGCCUCCUCAGACAGAUGCCUUCUUGCUGUGCAUCCAGUACCUCUUCUGUGCCAGGGAGAGUGAGUGCUCUGUGAAAGACUGCUAUCCAAGAAGGGAGCUAGGCCCUCAGGAAGGUCACACAGCCUCUCAACACAUAGCAUUGAACAAAGUCAGCAGCAGAAAAAGGAAGAGCCAGAAUUCUGCACCUCAGCAUCUGUGUGACCACAGGCAACCCUGCCUUCUCCAGAGAAGCUGGGGCUUUCCUGUUUGUAAGAAAUGGGACGAUGUGAGGAACACAGAAACACUGGACCAUGGAUUCAUGACUGGAGGACCGGGGUUUGGAGCUCGCUUGGGACCACAGGAACACCGGUGCGCCCAAGUUCCAGGCCUUCCCGCCGGCAGGGAACUGGGCCAAUCCUCGACGACUCGCGCGGCUGCUGAACGCAGUGCUAUUUGGUCCCCGAGCUCCGGGAGGCGUCCCCAGGCUCCACUCCCGUUCAGCUUAAGGUGGUGUCACAUGAGCUGCGGGGGAGUGGGAACCCAGAGAGUGGGCGGUGGCGUGCGUGCCCAGAGGGGGCCGCCCAGUCCACCUAUAUGCACAGGGACCCGCCUGACGGAUGCCAGGAAUUCCCAAUGAGAGGCGCUGGGGGGAAGUUUGGGCAACUCGGCCUGGCCAAUGGAG
Molecule: long non-coding RNA, 925 nt
Filed under: Cricetulus griseus (Chinese hamster)
Lineage: Eukaryota; Metazoa; Chordata; Mammalia; Rodentia; Cricetidae
Description: lncRNA (ENSCGRG00015032672.1)
Source: RNAcentral